Molecule: long non-coding RNA, 227 nt
Filed under: Gallus gallus (chicken)
Lineage: Eukaryota; Metazoa; Chordata; Aves; Galliformes; Phasianidae
Source: RNAcentral
CACGAGAACAGGGCCAGUGCUGCCAAGGAUGGUGAGAGGUUGGCCAGCAAAGAGGGAAUACACAACGCCAGUCAUGGACGCGCCCAGCAGUGACUCCAUGGCGCUUAUGUGGCCAUCAGUCGCCUCCCCCAGCAGCCCCCCGAAGGUGAUGACAGGGGACAUGCAGGCGCAGUAGAGGAAGAGGAAGGAUGCCAGGCACUGCAGACUCAGCGCAUCCCGAAAGUCGC